ACCAAUAUCAUGGGCAUCCAAGAGGCAGC
This 29-nucleotide small RNA is filed under the name Bombyx mori (domestic silkworm). RNAcentral describes it as "ovarian small RNA-11206". Lineage: Eukaryota; Metazoa; Arthropoda; Insecta; Lepidoptera; Bombycidae. The record is from RNAcentral.